This is a non-coding RNA of Mus caroli (Ryukyu mouse), 2787 nucleotides long. NCBI's taxonomy places the organism in Eukaryota, Metazoa, Chordata, Mammalia, Rodentia, Muridae. The record is from RefSeq and is a predicted model, not a curated record.
UUGAAAAUCUAGCCUUUUCUAGUUUGAAAAGUUGGAAAAGUUUUAUUGUGAGCAGAUUUAUCUAUUGCUGGGAUAUAUCUUUUAAAUGGUUUCCUCCUAUAGAGAUAUAUUUAGCUCCCUUAAAAUAUAAUUCAGUUCCAAUUUGCCAUUUUUCUUGCCAGUAAGUCAAAGUGUCAUAGGAAAUAAAGGCAGAGACUCAUUAAAGUCCUAGGCUCUUAAAACAUUUUCUUUUCUUCCCUCAGAGCAGCAAAAUUGAGGGGAGGAGUGUGGCUACAGUGAAUGGGUGUCGCUGAGAAUCAUGAAUAGGGAGCACUUUGGUUGGAGAUUCAGAGCUCUGGAGUGUGACUGCGGAGGGAAGCAUGCAUGAAGAUCACUUUGGCUUUUGAAAUGUUAAGUUCCACCCAGUUGAAGAACUGCUCAAGAAGAGUCAGAUAGCUGGCUCAAUGGGUUAAAAAUUCUUGCCACACAAUCCUGAAGACUUGAGUUGAAUACACCGGAUCCACAAAAAUACAGUAGUAGUGUUUCACAACUGUAACUCCAAAACUUCUAUUGGGCAGUAGAAGGUCCAGUUUUUCUGCAACUCCCUCAGAUGUGCUUAAACCUCUUGAAAAGGACAUUGGACCAUGAUGCUCCUCCGGUAUUCUUUCUUUCUGCUCUGAGCCCUGGAUUGUUCCACAGAAUCCUUGUUCUCUCCUCUGACUCCCCUCCCUGUGGCUCAGUAGAAUUGGGGCUCACAUAUGAGGAGUAAUGGAUGGUGUUGGGAAAUUGCAAAUUUCACAUCUAAUCCAUGGGUUUGCUAACUAGAAGCGCCAGAAUGUGAUCAUGGUGCUGAGAGUGACAGGGUAGCCCUGCAUCCGGAAGGAGAACUGAAUUCUGUAGCUGGAGAGUUUCUCGGUCUGUGACUCUGAGCACUCACAGAAAGGAAAGGGUCACUCUUUGAUGGAGAAAACUGAGCAGUUGUUUCAAAUACAGAGCAUUUUAUUUCUCAGGGGUAAAGGAUGGUAUGGAUUAUGGCAUUUCCCAGGUAGAGUUGUGGAGUUCUGAGAAGGGAUUGUAUCAGGAAGAGAAGCGAGGGGGACACGAGUCCAGUGAGGGGGGGGCAGUAUUUAAGAUUCAAAAACUAGAUACUAUAGAUCAAACUAAACACUGAGAGAAAGGACUGGGUGCUAUUAAUGAAUUUUGCUCCAACUAACUAUUUUUAGAGGUGAGUGUUGCUCAGCGUUAGAACAUGUUUUAACACAUACAAGGCCUUAGGUGCAAUUCUCAGCCUAUGCACAUAUGAGAACUGUGCAGGGGUUUGGAUGCUGAUACAUUACGCUUCCAGAAUCUUCCUUUCACCAGGUGGUCCCACCGUGUUGGGGCACAGGAAGUGUCUUCUAGAAUGUUCUCCUGCUUCCUGAGCCCCUGAUAUUCUAGUAUAGGAAUGCUACUGUCUAGACAUCACCAUGGGAACUUGGGAGCACUUCCUGCUGAAUGACAGCUACAGCCUCACUCCGUUUUCAGAGAAAGCGUCUGUACUAGAAACAGUGCUCUCAUCACUUCAAGCUUCACGUGGCUUCUCCACUGAUUAGCUAACCCCAAAGAGCGCUCGAGAGUAUUGUUAUGAAUUCCUGCAAAUGUCAAGGUUCUUGAGAUAGUCAAGUCCUUCUCUGAAGUAGGAGAGGUAUGCCCUUCCUUGCUGUAGCUGAGACUCCAAAGUGAAACUCUGAGGGGAAGGACAAACACAAAGAAACCCAGGAUGCCACAUUUUGUUUGAGUACUGGAGUCAAGUCUUAGAGCACAAACUAUCUCAGUAAUAAAACCAAAGAGCUUGCAUUGAAGCCAAAGCACAAGAAAGGGGAACCCAGGACACUGACCUCAAGGCUUCCAGUUUCCUCAUCUGGGCAAUUAUAGCCAUGGUGGGAUCAACUAAGAUAAUGCAUAAGAGCCAGUGUAUAGAAGGUACCUUGCAAAUGCAUCUAGUGUCUUGGGAUAGUAAAUGGCAAGGCUCAUCUGUUAGGACUGACUAAUUCUUUAAAAUUAGACUGAAAGUCUAGAAGACCAUGUAAAUAUUAUCACAUUUCCUUGCUGUGUAAAGCCAACCUCCUCUAAAAUACAAAGAGAUGUAUACAAAACCUAAGUUAAGUAAUUGUUAAGCAUGCAAAUCUCAUUUUGGGGGGUCUUUUAAACAUAUACAAGAAUGACUAUUUUAAUUCUUCAGUAUAGUAUCAUUUAAAAAUUUGCACAUUUGCUUGCACUGGAAACUGCAGUUGUGUUUACUAAAACAUAUGGAUGUUUAUUAUAAAUUCUUCAUUCCUAGUGUAUGCUUCCACAUGUGCCUCUCAAGCUUACUGGAAUAUUUUAACCCUCAUAAAGUAAAUGUAUGCUAUAUAAAUGUGCAUAAUUGUGCUUCAUAAGAUAAUGUUCACCCUCAUCUUAAUUAUUUGAGUAACAUGCAAAUAUUUAAUUGAAUGUAAAAAUCGACCCUAUACAUAUUUAUUUGAUCUCUCUCGUCUCAGGGUAGACGUAGUGUGAUUAGUAUCAGAAUGAUUGCAAACAACUUCUGUGCAGAAGACGCCUCCAUCACCCAGAGUCCCAGCCUCACCCUCUGUCCUUGAGGAAAGCCUCCAAUCAGAGUUUGUGUAAUCUUGGAGUGGACGUUUCUUUAAUAUUAGUAAGAAAAGGGAAGAAAUCAAGUAAAGGAAGAUUUAUUCUUUAAGAGAAUCUGACACCACAGCCCGGGAAAGCAAGGCUCGCUUUGUCUAUCAACUUCUUAAACUCUCCUUGCUCCCAUUUCUUUCUUUAAAA